UGAAAAGCGAAAUGUAAUGUGAAUCGCAACUAACAGUGAAUCAUUGAAUCUUUGAACGCAGGCCGCACUUUCCGGUGUGUUAUUUCGGUAACAUGCCGGAAAGUAUCUACGUAUGAGUGCCAGCCAAAUAUAAAUUUGGUUCAUGAGGGAUGUAUGGCAGGUCGUCCCAUGUCAAUAAAACUCGUGUAUACACACGUGUCUAAAGUGACAUAUCGCUUGAAGCAGCAAUAUGCACGUCUGGCCUCAUAUGUGGAAGGUUACCCGCUGGAUUUAA
Molecule: unclassified non-coding RNA, 274 nt
Filed under: uncultured fungus
Lineage: Eukaryota; Fungi
Description: sequence contains ITS1
Rfam family: 5.8S ribosomal RNA (bases 1-122)
Source: RNAcentral